AUGCAAAGAAAAGCCUCUCCCCACAACACCCCUGCCCUAAUACAAUAUGGCAGAAAACUACAACACUGGCAUUAUAGUAACAUUGUAGAGAAAAAAGAGCAGAGUACCAACACGGAUCACCCUCAGCGCCACCAGUGCAGUCAUCCCAACCAGGACCCCAUCAACAGACUACCACCAGGAAAGCGAGAGGUCAUGGAGAAGUAUUUUAAACCGGUUCAGAGCCCAGCUGAGCUGGAUAAGCUCAAGCCACGGAAAAUCCACCAUCAUCGCCAUCAUCACCUUCACCAUAGCCAAGACACUCAGUCACACAGGUACUCGAAGUUUGAUGACACUGACAGGAACACAGAUGACAGCCGAGAGCAGCCUCGCCACCAUCAGCACAGUCACUAUCUCCAUGAAAGCCCUCGCCACGAUGCUCACUAUCCCCGUCAGUUUCACCACAGUGAAGAGGAUGAGAUCAUUUACGACCAUGAUACUUCUGUAACUCUCUCAAGGGCUUCCUCUUCUUCCCUCUCAUCCUCAUCCUCUUCCUCCUGGUACACAGAGUCAAGUGCAAAUGAUCCUUUCACUCUUUGCCACGCUGAGCGCCCACAGCAUUCUCUGUCCUGCUCCAAUAUCCCAGAUGUGCGCAUAGGUUUCCGGGAAGAUGAAUGCAGUGAGCCCAUUGUCUUUGCUACCGUCAAACACAGCAAAAAAGGCAAGCUGCUUCAUGAAAGCUCACAGCAAAGAGGGAACACUGGCUUUUCUGCUCUUGACAGAGGUCACAGUCGGAGCGAUGAAGCCUUUUUUCAGAGUAAUGAUAGUGGUGGAAGAGAACAAUCUAAGCAAAAUAACUAUGGGCCUUUGUAUAAGUCAGCUAGUUUGAACCGAUGUCUGGCUUUCAGUGAGGAAAACAUUCUUUUAGGGGUCUCCAGUGCCCCCAAGAGAGCAGUAUCUUCAAACCAGCUACCCAGCAAAGGGAUCCUCAAGAACAAGGAGACUCAUACUGACAUUCGUAAGACUAAAUCGAUGGAGGUGUUGUCCCCAAGAGUUGCUAAAGAACAUGGUCCUGGGCAGAAGGGUAAAGAAAUUACUCAAGCUAACAUAGAGCAAGCCAGGGCCAAUUUUCUGCAGCAGAAAUUACAGUUCUCUGCUUUUCUAGAUGAGAUUACAAAGAGCGUUAUAAGUCCAUCGUAUCUCACCAGCUUGGGUGUUAAUAAUAAUAAAACUCCUGCAAAAACAUCUGACUCAGCCCCCACAUCUAACCCAGUUAAGCCUCAGCUCCCACCAAAAAAACACAGAAAAGCCCCAGUGGAGGAGACGGGCCAGCAUCCCAAACUGGCCAGCAGACAGGAGAAAGCACCUUUCAGUAGUUCUCGAAAACACUCAGACUGCUCCAAUCCUGACAAACUGAUUUCAUAUGCCAUGAGGAACCACCAUGGUAGCCCACCGCCUCGUCACCACCCGCACUCUGCCAGCCAAAGCCCACACCACGGAAGCAACCGUAAGGACAGGAGGCCUACGUCAGGAGACAGAUUUGGUAGAGGUGGCCCUCACCUCACCGAUGAAACUAGCACCAGCCCUGAAACCAGUCAGUCCAAACAACGCCACCACCACCACCGAAAACAGCAGCAUAGCCAGCAUCCACAUAACCAGCACUUCCACCAACAGUCCUAUCCAGACUCUGGUCACCAAGAACCAAGCAACUCGCCUCCAACUUCAGCCCAAGGUGCAGGGGUCGGAUCUGAGUCUUCAUCCACAAAAUCCGAUUCAUCCAGGGCCAGGGACACAGCCUCCACAGCUACCAGCCACAGCUCAGAUCAGAGUGGUCGACACCAGCCACAACAUGUUGGGCACUCUCAGCAGCACAGGGAUGUGCUGUGUGACGCUGACCAUCUUCAGGCACUGCAGGAGGAGAAUGCUGAUCUCCACCAGAACUUGCUGCAGACAGUGGUUUGCAUUGAGAGCCUGGAGGCAGAGCUGCAGAGGACCAGAGACGAGCUCAGUCACGUCAAGGAGAAAUACAAAAGCCUUCUGCAAACACAUACUGGGACCAAGCAGGCCAAUAACUUGCUGGGGGAGCACCUGCACAUAGCGUCCGAGAGCCUGAGCAGUGAAAGGAAGUACUUGCUCAAUCGUGUGUCCAACCUGAGCUCAGAGCUGGAAGACGCCCACAGGACCAUUGCAGCCCUGGAGAACAUUAAUGUGCCAUGCUUGAUAAAGGAACUACUGAAGAAGCAUUUUGAUUCAGCUGAGGCUGUACAGAAGUUUCUCACAACCACUGCUGCAAACAGCCAUUCUGCCACCUCUCAGCAAACAGAUGGCCAGCCCCACCCUCCUAAAGCAGACAAAGCAGCACACGAUUGGCUGACAAAACCAGAGGCAGGUCCACAGAGGGUCACAGCUUUCACACCCUUUAAACAGAGUGUACCAGCAACAGGAAAUGAAUGCGGCCUCUCGGGUCAGCAUGAGCUGAGCCACAGCCCGCCUUUCUCUGUGGCUGAGAUCAGCACCGCUAUCUAUAAGAAAAUGGCUGCCAGUUAUGCUGCCAGGCCACAGCCUAUCUACCCCCAAAGCCAACAGCAGUCCUCUUUGGCCACUAAUCAUGCUGACACCCUUCCAGACCUCAGGCAGGGCCAUGUAGCUAGUGAUAACUGGGCCGGGAAGGGAGAGUUAAAGGUAACUCUUUUGGAGCAGGACACUGAUGAUGUGAACUCUGUGUCAGCCCAGCAGAUUCUGGAUGAUUUCAUGCAGCACCUACAGUUACACAAGGAGGCUGGUGAGAGGAAGGAGCAACAGAGUGGGCAGAAUUGUAGGGCAGAAGUAACAGAGUGAAAAUGCCACAGGCACAGUGAAUGUUCAUCUUAAUGCUUCGAAAUGUGCAUUUAUUCAUCUGUCUCAUGGAUAUCUGUCAGAUGGAAAUACUGUAUUUUGAAAAUGCUGUGGUUACGAAAACUUGAACAUUAUGUUAUUUUAGGCUAUCUGUGGGUGACAAAGGAAGGCUUUGCAUAAUAGUCAGAAGAUUUUCAUGCACAAAAAGAAAGAAAGAGCCACAGCUACGUCAAAAGAGUGAGAAAAAUGGCAAUAAAAUAACAAAGUAACCAAUUAUUUUAUUAAAAAUAUGCUUAUGCAUAAGUUCCUGUAGUAUUAAUUCACUGUCUAUUUUUUUUUACCUUUUAGUUUUCUUCCAAAUUGAUAGUGAAGGCAAAGUCACAGUGGAUAUCACAUAAUAUGGCAUCUCUAUCUAAAUCCAUCCAUUCACCCAUCUUCAUCCAAGUUAAGGUCAUGGGGGUAGCUGGAGCCUUUCCUAGCAGAUAGGUCACCAGUCGGUUGCAGCGCUGACACAGAGAGACAACUAGGGCCAGUUUAGAAUCACCAGUUCACCUAACCCCACUAAUUGCACAUAGAACCUUCUCGCUAACCAGCUCAUCACCAUGCUGCCCACUUCAUACAGACUACAGAAGUAUUUAAUUGUCUCUGAUAAUAGAUCAUUGACACUGAUGGGAUCAAAUGCGAUCACUUUUAACAAAUUAAAAAAACAGUGAAAGACAGGGAAUUUAAAAGCAGGAUACCUCAAGGCCUUCUGCUAAGUGAACAAUGAAUAUUCAGUGAACGACUUUGAGUGACAUCGAGAAAACAACAUGAGAAAGGAAGCUAAUUCCCCUUUGGAACCCAUUUAAGUCUUGAGUCAGGGCAUCUCUUUCUUAAAGCAGCAGGUUACUGUACCAUCAGUAUCACUAGAGACUGUUUUAAUCUACAUUUAUUCAUAAUAAUUCAGCCAGACUCAGUUGUUCGUGUUUCUGCUAUAUAUUUGUGUAAAAUAACGCUUCAGGGACUGCUUUGGAUGUUUCAAACAGUCUAAAUAGCCCCCAUGUGAAAACCUCUUAAAAUUAAUAAGUGUACAAUGAAAAAUACUAUUUUGAGUUUACUGUGCAUUGAUUGGUUUGUGUAAAUAUCCAGAGAUUCAGUGUAAAUGUCUUUAAUUCAUAAAAAGAAAGUCAAAUAUUAUGAUUCAAAAAUGUUUUCUUUGUAUUAUUGCAGGGUCUUUACCUUACAAUGUAAAGUGCCUUGAGGCAACUGUUGUUGUGCUUUGGCACUAUAUGAAUAAAAUUGGAUUGAAUUGAAUUGUUGACAGGAGAAAAUCUUUUCAAGCUGAUGUAAAUGACAAAUGUAUACAGUUAGAAUACAAAGGCGUGUACAGCUAUUGUGAUGGUGUUGAUAAGCUUAACAGAACGUGUACACCUGGAAUCUAUGUGUUCCUUUAAUUCUGUGCUUAGCAUUCUUCUGGUAUUAAUGUUGUUUUAAUCUAAAUCUCUCUCUACAUUUUGUCAUUAAAAAUACUUCUUUGUGUCUUUGCAGCUAUUCUACCAAUAAAGAUAGUUUUGUUGAUGCAGUAUAUCAGAUUACAAACAUUUGUUCAUUAUUGAUGAUUUCUUCUUCAGUUUCUUGUUGCCAAAUUCAAAUAAUAUAUAGCAUGUUUUUUUUUUUAUAUGCAAACAAAACAAACAAACAAACAAAAAAACCCAAUUGGAAGGUUGUGUUUUAAUCCCCGGCUCCUCCAGCCUGCAUGUAAGUGACCGUGGGCAAGAUAAUGAACUCCGUGUUGCAUUCAUUGAAAUUGAAAUUGAUGACCAUCUUGAGUUUGAGGAACAGAAAUGCAUCUGAAUGUGUGUGCUUCAAUGGGUGAAUGAGGCUUGUAAUAAAAAGUACUUUGAGUGCUCAGUUAGAGAAGCCUUCAGUUAAUCCAAAAUGCUGCAGCAAGAGUACUGACAGGGACUAGAAAUAGAUAGCAUAUUUCUCCUAUACUGGUUUCUUUUCAUUGGCUCCCUGUUAAAUUCAGAAUUGAAUUCAAAAUCCUGCUCCUCACAUACAAAGUCUUGAAUAAUCAGACCUCAUCAUAUUCUAAUGACCUUGUAGUACCAUAUCACCCUAUUAGAGCACUUCGCUCUCGCACUGCAGGCUUACUUGUUGUUCCUAGAGUAUUUAAAAGUAGAAUGGGAGGCAGAGCCUUCAGCUUUCAGGCUCCUCUUCUAUGAAACCAGCUUCCAGUUUGGAUUCAGGAGAUGGAUACCGUCUCUACUUUUAAGAUUAAGCUUAAAACUUUCCUCUUUGCUAAAGCAUAUAGUUAGGGCUGGAUCAGGCAACCCUGAAUCCUCCCUUAGUUAUGCUGCAAUAGGUGUAGGCUGCUGGUAGCUUCCCAUGAUGCUUUAGUAUUUCUUCUUCAUGUGUUAAUAGACCUCUCUGCAUUGAAUUAUACAUUUAUUUUUAAUCUGUGCCUCUCUUUCACAGAAUGUCUUUUGUCCUGUCUUCCUUCUCUCUCCCCAAACGGUCGCAGCAGAUGUCCGUCCCUCCCUGAGCCUGGUUCUGCUGGAGCUUUCUUCCCACUGUCGCCAAAGUGCUUACUCAUAGGGGGUCAUAUGAUUUUGGGGGUUUUUCUCUGUAUGUAUUAUUUUAGGGUCUCCCUUACAAUGUAAAGCACCUUGAGGCAACUGCUGUUGUGAUUUGGUGCUGUAUAAAUCGAAUUGAAUCGAAUUGAAUCAAAUCGAAUCGAAUUGAAAAAAAGUGCUACAUGUACGCUGCUGACAUAUCUGAGAUACAUUAAAAUCUCUGUUGUUAGAAAGCUAAACAGGUUUGCUUGUAAGUUUUAAAUGGCUUUCAAUCUGUCUCACUAUUCGAAAAUAUAGCUGCAAG
Molecule: long non-coding RNA, 5670 nt
Filed under: Oreochromis niloticus (Nile tilapia)
Lineage: Eukaryota; Metazoa; Chordata; Actinopteri; Cichliformes; Cichlidae
Description: lncRNA (ENSONIG00000022989.2)
Source: RNAcentral